This 418-nucleotide ribosomal RNA is filed under the name bacterium. Its description in RNAcentral is "bacterial SSU rRNA". It matches the Rfam family "Bacterial small subunit ribosomal RNA", at positions 29 to 464 of the family's 1533-position model. The record is from RNAcentral.
AACGAACGUUGGCGGGAUGUCUUAAACAUGCAAGUCGAGCGGCAGCACUUCGGGUGGCGAGCGGCGAACUGGUGAGUAACGCGUGGGUAUCUACCUCAUGGAUUGGGAUAGCCUCUGGAAACAGGGAUUAAUACCAAAUAUGAGCAUGCUUAAAAGCGGCGUUUGCCGCACCAUGAGAUGAGCCUGCGUCCCAUUAGCUUGUUGGUAGGGUAAUAGCCUACCAAGGCGACGAUGGGUAGCCGGCCUGAGAGGGUGAUCGGCCACAUCGGGACUGAGAUACGGCCCGGACUCCUACGGGAGGCAGCAGUUAAGAAUAUUCCACAAUGGGCGAAAGCCUGAUGGAGCAAUCCCGCGUGAAGGAUGAAGGCCUUCGGGUUGUUAAACUUCUUUCGACAGGGAAGAAUAAGUGAGUAGGAAA